This 428-nucleotide ribosomal RNA is filed under the name Chloroflexota bacterium. Its description in RNAcentral is "Chloroflexi bacterium partial 16S ribosomal RNA". It matches the Rfam family "Bacterial small subunit ribosomal RNA", at positions 356 to 776 of the family's 1533-position model. Lineage: Bacteria; Bacillati; Chloroflexota. The record is from RNAcentral.
UGGGAAUAUUGCACAAUGGGCGCAAGCCUGAUGCAGCCAUGCCGCGUGUAUGAAGAAGGCCUUCGGGUUGUAAAGUACUUUCAGCGGGGAGGAAGGGAGUAAAGUUAAUACCUUUGCUCAUUGACGUUACCCGCAGAAGAAGCACCGGCUAACUCCGUGCCAGCAGCCGCGGUAAUACGGAGGGUGCAAGCGUUAAUCGGAAUUACUGGUCGUAAAGCGCACGCAGGCGGUUUGUUAAGUCAGAUGUGAAAUCCCCGGGCUCAACCUGGGAACUGCAUCUGAUACUGGCAAGCUUGAGUCUCGUAGAGGGGGGUAGAAUUCCAGGUGUAGCGGUGAAAUGCGUAGAGAUCUGGAGGAAUACCGGUGGCGAAGGCGGCCCCCUGGACGAAGACUGACGCUCAGGUGCGAAAGCGUGGGGAGCAAACAGG